AUUGAACGCUGGCGGCAUGCUUUACACAUGCAAGUCGAACGGCAGCGCGGGCUUCGGCCUGGCGGCGAGUGGCGAACGGGUGAGUAAUACAUCGGAACGUGCCCAGUAGUGGGGGAUAGCUCGGCGAAAGCCGGCUUAAUACCGCAUACGACAUGAGGGUGAAAGCGGGGGAUCUUCGGACCUCGCGCUAUUGGAGUGGCCGAUGGCAGAUUAGCUAGUUGGUGGGGUAAAGGCCUACCAAGGCGCCGAUCUGUAGCUGGUCUGAGAGGACGACCAGCCACACUGGGACUGAGACACGGCCCAGACUCCUACGGGAGGCAGCAGUGGGGAAUUUUGGACAAUGGGCGAAAGCCUGAUCCAGCAAUGCCGCGUGUGUGAUGAAGGCCUUCGGGUUGUAAAGCACUUUUGGCGGGAACGAAAAGGACUGUGCCAAUACCACGGUUCGAUGACGGUACCCGCAGAAUAAGCACCGGCUAACUACGUG
Molecule: ribosomal RNA, 484 nt
Filed under: uncultured bacterium
Lineage: Bacteria
Description: partial 16S ribosomal RNA
Rfam family: Bacterial small subunit ribosomal RNA
Source: RNAcentral